This 1842-nucleotide ribosomal RNA is filed under the name Brevibacillus formosus. Its description in RNAcentral is "bacterial LSU rRNA". It matches the Rfam family "Bacterial large subunit ribosomal RNA", at positions 1096 to 2925 of the family's 2925-position model. The record is from RNAcentral. Lineage: Bacteria; Bacillati; Bacillota; Bacilli; Caryophanales; Paenibacillaceae.
GGAUGUUGGCUUAGAAGCAGCCACCAUUUAAAGAGUGCGUAAUAGCUCACUGGUCGAGUGACUCUGCGCCGAAAAUGUACCGGGGCUAAACGUAUCACCGAAGCUAUGGAUUCGCACCGUUGGUGCGAGUGGUAGGGGAGCGUUCUACGUGCAGCGAAGUCAGACCGAGAGGACUGGUGGAGCGCGUAGAAGUGAGAAUGCCGGUAUGAGUAGCGAAAAGAGGGGUGAGAAUCCCCUCCGUCGAAAGCCCAAGGUUUCCUGAGGAAGGCUCGUCCGCUCAGGGUUAGUCGGGACCUAAGCCGAGGCCGAAAGGCGUAGGCGAUGGACAACAGGUGGAAAUUCCUGUACCACCUCCUCACCGUUUGAGCAAUGGGGGGACGCAGAAAGGUAGGGUAAGCGCGCUGAUGGAGAUGCGCGUCCAAGCAGUUAGGCUGGAAAGUAGGCAAAUCCGCUUUCCAUAAAGGCUGAGCUGUGAUGGCGAGGGAAAUAAUAGUACCGAAGUUCCUGAUCCUACACUGCCAAGAAAAGCCUCUAGCGAGGUGAGAGGUGCCCGUACCGCAAACCGACACAGGUAGGCGAGAAGAGAAUUCUAAGACGCUCGGGAGAACUCUCGUUAAGGAACUCGGCAAAAUGACCCCGUAACUUCGGGAGAAGGGGUGCUCUGAUAGGGUGCAAGCCCGAGAGAGCCGCAGUGAAAAGAUCCAAGCGACUGUUUAGCAAAAACACAGGUCUCUGCGAAGCCGCAAGGCGAAGUAUAGGGGCUGACACCUGCCCGGUGCUGGAAGGUUAAGAGGAGGGGUUAUCCCUUCGGGAGAAGCUCUGAAUUGAAGCCCCAGUAAACGGCGGCCGUAACUAUAACGGUCCUAAGGUAGCGAAAUUCCUUGUCGGGUAAGUUCCGACCCGCACGAAUGGUGUAACGACUUGGAUACUGUCUCAACGAGAGACCCGGUGAAAUUAUAGUACCUGUGAAGAUGCAGGUUACCCGCGACAGGACGGAAAGACCCCAUGGAGCUUUACUGUAGCUUGAUAUUGGAUGUUGGUACCGUUUGUACAGGAUAGGUAGGAGCCUUGGAAGCCGGAGCGCUAGCUUCGGUGGAGGCGCUGGUGGGAUACUACCCUGACGGUAUUGACAUUCUAACCUCGAACCGUGAUCCGGUUCAGGGACAGUGUCAGGUGGGCAGUUUGACUGGGGCGGUCGCCUCCUAAACAGUAACGGAGGCGCCCAAAGGUUCCCUCAGAAUGGUUGGAAAUCAUUCGUAGAGUGCAAAGGCAAAAGGGAGCUUGACUGCGAGACCUACAAGUCGAGCAGGGACGAAAGUCGGGCUUAGUGAUCCGGCGGUGCCGUAUGGAAGGGCCGUCGCUCAACGGAUAAAAGCUACCCUGGGGAUAACAGGCUUAUCUCCCCCAAGAGUUCACAUCGACGGGGAGGUUUGGCACCUCGAUGUCGGCUCAUCGCAUCCUGGGGCUGAAGUAGGUCCCAAGGGUUGGGCUGUUCGCCCAUUAAAGCGGUACGCGAGCUGGGUUCAGAACGUCGUGAGACAGUUCGGUCCCUAUCCGUCGCGGGCGUAGGAAAUUUGAGAGGAGCUGUCCUUAGUACGAGAGGACCGGGAUGGACACACCGCUGGUGUACCAGUUGUUCCGCCAGGAGCAUCGCUGGGUAGCUACGUGUGGACGGGAUAAGUGCUGAAAGCAUCUAAGCAUGAAGCCCCCCUCAAGAUGAGAUUUCCCAUGGAGUAAAUCCAGUAAGACCCCUUAGAGAUGAUGAGGUUGAUAGGUCUGGUGUGGAAGCGUGGCGACACGUGAAGCUGACAGAUACUAAUCGGUCGAGGACUUAUCCAAAAA